This is a small nuclear RNA of Sorex fumeus (smoky shrew), 107 nucleotides long. NCBI's taxonomy places the organism in Eukaryota, Metazoa, Chordata, Mammalia, Eulipotyphla, Soricidae. The record is from RefSeq and is a predicted model, not a curated record.
GUGGUCGCUUCAGCAGCACCUCUAAUAAAAUUGGAACGAUACAGAGAAGAUUAGCAUGGUUCCUGCUCAAGGAUGACAUGCAGAUUUCAAUUUUUUUAAAAUCUUUU